RNAcentral lists this ribosomal RNA (409 nucleotides) under uncultured bacterium. Its description in RNAcentral is "bacterial SSU rRNA". It matches the Rfam family "Bacterial small subunit ribosomal RNA", at positions 356 to 773 of the family's 1533-position model. The record is from RNAcentral.
GGGGAAUCUUGCGCAAUGGGCGAAAGCCUGACGCAGCAACGCCGCGUGGGGGAUGAAGGCCUUCGGGUUGUAAACCUCUUUCACCAUCGACGAAGCCCUUUGGGGUGACGGUAGGUGGGGAAGAAGCACCGGCUAACUACGUGCCAGCAGCCGCGGUAAUACGUAGGGUGCGAGCGUUGUCCGGAUUUAUUGGGCGUAAAGAGCUCGUAGGCGGUUUGUCGCGUCGGCCGUGAAAACCUACAGCUUAACUGUGGGCUUGCGGUCGAUACGGGCAGACUUGAGUUCGGCAGGGGAGACUGGAAUUCCUGGUGUAGCGGUGAAAUGCGCAGAUAUCAGGAGGAACACCGGUGGCGAAGGCGGGUCUCUGGGCCGAUACUGACGCUGAGGAGCGAAAGCGUGGGGAGCGAAC